UACGGAGGGAGCUAGCGUUGUUCGGAAUUACUGGGCGUAAAGCGCGCGUAGGCGGCUUUGCAAGUUAGAGGUGAAAGCCCGGAGCUCAACUUCGGAAUUGCCUUUAAAACUGCAUCGCUUGAAUCCGGGAGAGGUGAGUGGAAUUCCGAGUGUAGAGGUGAAAUUCGUAGAUAUUCGGAAGAACACCAGUGGCGAAGGCGGCUCACUGGACCGGCACUGACGCUGAGGUGCGAAAGCGUGGGGAGCAAACAGG
Molecule: ribosomal RNA, 253 nt
Filed under: uncultured bacterium
Lineage: Bacteria
Description: partial 16S ribosomal RNA
Rfam family: Bacterial small subunit ribosomal RNA
Source: RNAcentral